RNAcentral lists this ribosomal RNA (390 nucleotides) under uncultured eukaryote. RNAcentral's name for it is "partial 18S ribosomal RNA". It matches the Rfam family "Eukaryotic small subunit ribosomal RNA", at positions 592 to 976 of the family's 1831-position model. The record is from RNAcentral.
CAAUAGCAUAUGUUAAAGUUGUUGCGGUUAAAAAGCUCGUAGUUGGAUCUCUGUUGGGUGUCGGCGGUUCUGUUUCAUGCAGCGACUGCUGAAAUAACCCAACGUAUUUGGGGUGUUAUUCGGAGUGGUGCUCUUAACCGAGUGUCCUUCGAGUCCCCCAGGUUGACUUUGAAAAAAUUAGAGUGCUCCAGGCAGGCCUAAUAAGCCUGAAUAAUAGUGCAUGGAAUGAUGGAAUAGGACGUCGAUUCUGUUCUGUUGGUUCUCAAGAAUUGGACGUAAUGAUUGACAGGGACGGUCGGGGGCAUUGGUAUUCCGGCGCUAGAGGUGAAAUUCUUGGACCGCCGGAAGACCCACCACUGCGAAAGCAUUUGCCAAGAAUGUUUUCAUUAA